GGCGAGAUAGCUCAGCUGGUUAGAGCGCAGGAUUCAUAAUCCUGAGGUCGUGGGAUCGUGCCCCACUCUCGCUACCU
This 77-nucleotide transfer RNA is filed under the name Bacteroidales bacterium KA00251. Its description in RNAcentral is "tRNA-Met". It matches the Rfam family "tRNA". Rfam says of the family: Transfer RNA (tRNA) molecules are approximately 80 nucleotides in length. Lineage: Bacteria; Pseudomonadati; Bacteroidota; Bacteroidia; Bacteroidales. The record is from RNAcentral.